UACGAAGGGGCUAGCGUUGCUCGGAAUCACUGGGCGUAAAGGGCGCGUAGGCGGGACGGCACGUCGGUCGCUGAAAGCCCCCGGCUCAACCGGGGAACGGGCGCCGAUACGACCGCCCUCGAGGAACGUAGGGGGACCUGGAACUUCCGGUGGAGCGGUGAAAUGCGUUGAGAUCGGAAGGAACGCCCGUGGCGAAAGCGAGGUCCUGGACGUUUACUGACGCUGAGACGCGAAAGCCAGGGGAGCGAACGGG
RNAcentral lists this ribosomal RNA (253 nucleotides) under uncultured bacterium. RNAcentral's name for it is "partial 16S ribosomal RNA". It matches the Rfam family "Bacterial small subunit ribosomal RNA", at positions 524 to 776 of the family's 1533-position model. The record is from RNAcentral.